RNAcentral lists this unclassified non-coding RNA (3280 nucleotides) under Homalodisca vitripennis (glassy-winged sharpshooter). RNAcentral describes it as "uncharacterized LOC124354898, transcript variant X3". The record is from RNAcentral. Lineage: Eukaryota; Metazoa; Arthropoda; Insecta; Hemiptera; Cicadellidae.
ACCACAUGGCAGUGCACAUCGCGACUUCGUGAUGUCAUCAAGAGUCUUUAUAAGUAAACCGGAAAAAAGAUUUGCUUGAUGAGUGUUAGGGUUAGGUUAGGUGGAAUUCAAUUCAAUACAUAACCUUACAAAGUACGGCCCGGUGUUGUUUUAGGGGAGAUUUUAUUCUUUGUUAUCAGUAAUAUGGAUAAUGAAGAAAUAAAGAAACCAAAAAGCCAUGAAACAAAGAGUGCAGUUUUAUUAAAUUCAAGAAUUUUCAAAUUGGUCGAGACCAUUGAGAAAAAGAUUAAAGCAGGCCAUGCUGACAAAGAUCUAGAAGAGAUGAAGCAAUUACGUGAGCAGUGCGGCAGUGAAGAUCCUCUUGUCAGUGUGACUGCGUGUCAUGGCCUGGUGUAUCUAGUUAAGUCCUCUAUGUGUCCUUUGGUUAACACGGUCUCGGCUCUCGUAGCUUCACUCUUCUCUGUUAAGAGUGUCACGGGGGUGACGAGUGCACUGACAGAGCUGCUGGUGUUGGAGCUGAGAUGUAAGUUGGCUGAUGGGUCUGCCUACUGCUGCCCGUAUAACACCAGGUCACCUCUUCACCCCCUGGUGGCAGUGUUGAAACGCAGGCCCCUCGCCUGGCAUGAUGUCCUCAACCAGCUCUCUACCCUCUGCUCACACUCAGAUAAUCAGGUGGUCAGUAAUAGUCUGGAGCUCGUGCGACCUGUGUUGGUCUACGUGCUGAUGGAAGGCAAUGACUUGCCCGACAGCUGUAGACUCCAGGCCUUCAAAAUUGUCAUUAGCCACUUCUCAGAUACUGACUUUUUGAUAGAAGCUCUUGCCUCCUGCCUUUGCUGGAACAACAACCGUCUUCUAGAAGUUGUGCAACUUGUGUCAGCCUUGGGAGAGGCGGCUGUGGCAAGCAAGCAUGGGUUACAUGUGUCACUGAGCUGCUUAGCUUUGGCCACCCUGGUACCUCGACUCCUGCAGACCGCAGUGUGUCCCCAGCCCACACUACAGCUGGUCGCUCGGCUUGCUGCCAUUGCUACCAACACGCACUCCACCUUGCUCGCUCUUCUCGCUGACUCCAUCCCCUCCUGCCCUGCACCACACCUGCAGCACCUGUUGGCCUUCUUUGUAGAGCUUCUGGGACGAGGACAGUGCUCCCUAGAUUGUACCUGGAUGUGUGUGAGUGCUCUGAUGCCAUGGUUGGCUGCUAGUCCUAGCCACCUUCACCAGGCACUGCACACUGCUUCCUUGAUUGUGAAUCAUGCUUCUGCUGCCACUGCCAAUGCCUCAACCACUGCCACUCUGAUUGGGAAUUCUGCUGUGGCUGCUGUUGUCUCAGCUGAUCCCAGACUUACACAGGCAAUUCAUUUGGCUAGAUUGAGUGAGAUUUUACGAACUGAUAGCAGUGCAACUCUACAGUGGCUCAAGUCUGCUCAAGUGAUAAGAAUGGAUCAGAUUCAUCAGUACGUCAGUGCUUUAUUGAUAAGCCGUGCGGAAACAGAAGUUAAGUUGGCAGCACUGGAAGCUCUGGUGUGCUCUCAGGCUCCCAUGGCUACAUCACACAACCUGACACUGAUGUUGUACCAACUGGCUAAAGAGAAACAGCCAAAGGUCCAACUGGCACUGCUUAGAGCUCUGCCAUCUACAGCGGUUGAAAAGAACAAUGUGUUGGGUGUGAUCUCAACGUUGGAGGCCCUGCGACAGUCUGGUAAUCAACAGCUGUCUCUGCUGGCGGUGGAGCUGUACUGUCAGUUGUGGCUCAAUCAGGAGCGGUGCUACCCACAGCUGAUGGGUGUGUUGGACCAGAACUGUGAAAAUUACCCUUGGCUCGCUAACUUGCUGCAGGCCAACAUCUGCAAGAUCAUCUGUGAUACCCGACCAGAGAUGCACGGCAAGGAGGUGGUGCCCAAGGUAUCUGACAUACUGAACAAGUGUGGGGGAGUAAAGGACAGUGCAGCAUCUGCUCUCGCUCUGGAGGCCCUGAUACCUCUAUGUUGCCACGAUGUCGUCGAUAUCUUUACCAUUUGGCGCAGCCUGGCACCACGGUUCUCUAAAGACAAGCGACCGCCAGUCAUCAAGAGCCUGUGUGAGCUGCUGAGUGUAGCUGCCAACCAAAAGUCCGGAGACUGUGACAGUGACAGCCUGGUACAAAUAAUCAAGUGGCUGUGGAACCUGGUCGCUUACAGCAAGCAGCCAUCCAUUGUCGACGAUGCACUCAAAGCUUUAUCAAAGUUCCGUUUGGAGCAAAUGACUUUGAAGAUGCUCCCAGAAUGCUUCCGCAAAGACAUCACAUUGCCACCUGAGAUGGCCAAAACUCCAGUAGAUGCUGCUCGGAGACCUGAAGAUGUUCUGGAUUACAUUCCAGGUGAAUGCUGGAUCCAACUGCUGAGACAUGUUGGCACUGAGUCAGCCAGUUUGGCCAUUGCGUGCUGGAUCAGAAUGGAACUUGCUACAUUUCGCUCCAAUCGUUAUCAGGUGGACAGACAAGAGCCAAGAAAUUACAAAGACCUGCCGGCUCGGAGUGUGGUACGGGGUGUGGUCACCAGUCUGCAACACCUGUCUGCUCCUACGGACAGCAGUCUAGCCAACCUCUGUGUGGUAGCCCUGAUUCAGCCCUCACCCAAACCCUUGCCUUCACUCAGCUGGGCGUUCCUCUCCGAUUUGCCUCAGGCCGAUCCUGCCCUUGCCCACAAUAUUGUGAGGCUUGCAGCCAAGCAGUCUCAGAUAUCUCCCUCAGCUCGCAAGAUUACAGACAGUUACAUCUCUAGUUGUGGCACUGAUAGAGAAAAAAUUGAGUUCUUGUAUACAAUUCUGAGUGAUCUAUGCCGUGGGAUACCUCCUAAUACACUGAAACCAUUUUUAGAAAGGACUCUACAAACUGCAUUGAACCAGAAAGAUAAUGAACAUUUGUCUACUAUGCUGGGCUGUGUGAAAGCAACAUUGAAGGAAGAGAAGAUACAUGAAGCCAACAGAGCACUACUUCACCAACAAGUGAAGGCGCUGUGGGACAUGAUUGAGCCGCAACAUGAAGGAACAGGCUUUGGCUCUACAACUAGUCUGUGAGGUUAUCACUCAGCUCUCAGGACACUCUGGUGCUUGGCCGUGGCUACAAGAGCUCAUGGGGCAGACACACCUUACCACUGUUAACAACAAGGGUGGUGUAGAAUUUCUGGUGUCUGUAUUUGUGCUGUGUGUGGAUAUCAUGUCAGGCUACAGCAGUCUGGAGACAGCAGGUCAGGACAGUAGAGCACCCAGGCUCCCUCAGGCUGUGGUCUCACUGGUCAAUCAACAU